GACGAACGCUGGCGGCGUGCUUAACACAUGCAAGUCGAACGGAAAGGCCCUGCUUUUGUGGGUUGCUCGAGUGGCGAACGGGUGAGUAACACGUGAGUAACCUGCCCUUGACUUUGGGAUAACUUCAGGAAACUGGGGCUAAUACCGGAUAGGAGCUCCUGCUGCAUUGUGGGGGUUGGAAAGUUUCGGCGGUUGGGGAUGGUCUCGCGGCUUCUCAGAUUGUUGGUGGGGUAGUGGCUUACCAAGGCUUUGACGGGUAGCCGGCCUGAGAGGGUGACCGGAAACAUUGGGACUGAGAUAAGGCCCAGACUAGUACGGGAGGCAGCAGUGGGGAAGAGUGCACAAUGGGCGGAAGGCUGAUGCAGCAACGCGGCGUGGGGGAUGAGGGGCUUCGGGUUGUAAACCGCUUUCGCGUGGGACGAAGAGUGAGUGACGGUAAUGGGUAAAGAAGCAACGGCUAACUACGUG
RNAcentral lists this ribosomal RNA (468 nucleotides) under uncultured bacterium. Its description in RNAcentral is "partial 16S ribosomal RNA". It matches the Rfam family "Bacterial small subunit ribosomal RNA", at positions 28 to 507 of the family's 1533-position model. The record is from RNAcentral.